UUUCUGAGAUGGAUAGAGUAGGGGCUAGGAUGAACGUUAGGGCAGCUCGUGAACGGCGACGCUUAUGCAUAGCCAUGGAUAUAUAGCCUUCGGAGGAUGGAAGCGUCAGGUUAGCAGUACUAUUUGCCGCGCGCCCGUCUCUAUGUGACGAUGUCCCCAAGACCGAACGGGUCACCAUGAGGGGCGGCGUGAGGAAUGUUACAGACAUGGUGAACGGUGAGUCAGGUCGAGUUUGUACUAGGACCGGGAGCAGGGAAGGCGGCGGUGUGCAUGUUGGAUACAUUUGGAUGGAGACUCCUCUUGUGGACUCAUGGGGUUGGCUUGGUUUACUGUUCGUUUGGAUAUUCAGGGCUCUGAUGUACAACGGGAAUGGUCUCAGGCAUAUGGGGAGGGAGGUAGAGCAGAGGGAACGGUGCUGGUGGCUGUGUAAUGCAGAAGCAGGCGAAAGAGAUCGUGUUUUAGGCGGAACAAGCCUGCUUCCCGUUUGAGGGGACAUGAAUGUGUUAGACCUGUGUUAAAACGGCGCCGCUAGAAUAUCGAGGGACAAGACUGCAAGGCAAAAAUGCUUCGCAAUAGCGAAAACCCGGUCAUAGUCUGCCCGACGAGUUGGUGACGUGCUUUUCCAGUCUGUCGGUAGAUAUACUAUGAAACAGAAUGGAGGUCAAGGUUCGGCAUGGAGACAUAUCGUUGUAGACAUACCCAUAUGUAUAGUUAUGCGAUGGUGGAAUCGCCGGGUGAAGACCACCGUUUGUCUUGCGCCAAUUUCUCCGCACUGGUGCACCAGCCUUGAGAGCAUCGGCAGUCAGUGGUGAUUUACUCAGCGUGGUGCGGAUUUCGGAAGAAUGAUGGAUGGUGAGGGGCGACGAGUGUGUAGAAGAAUCGGAAGCAGGGAAGGCGAGUGUCCACAAGGCAGGCAUGAUACAUGAGAGUGGAAACCAGUGUUGUGAACACAUGCACGGGGCGUGAAUGGCUGUCACCGGG
This 981-nucleotide long non-coding RNA is filed under the name Toxoplasma gondii VEG. The record is from RNAcentral. Lineage: Eukaryota; Apicomplexa; Conoidasida; Eucoccidiorida; Sarcocystidae.